GACGUAGGGCGCAAGCGUUGUCCGGAUUUAUUGGGCGUAAAGAGCGUGUAGGCGGCCAGGUAGGUCGGUUGUGAAAACUGGAGGCUCAACCUUCAGAGGUCGACCGAAACCAUCUGGCUAGAGUCCGGGAGAGGAGAGUGGAAUUCCUGGUGUAGCGGUGAAAUGCGCAGAUAUCAGGAAGAACACCCGUGGCGAAAGCGGCUCUCUGGAACGGUACUGACGCUGAGACGCGAAAGCGUGGGGAGCGAACAGG
Molecule: ribosomal RNA, 253 nt
Filed under: uncultured bacterium
Lineage: Bacteria
Description: partial 16S ribosomal RNA
Rfam family: Bacterial small subunit ribosomal RNA
Source: RNAcentral